RNAcentral lists this transfer RNA (90 nucleotides) under Candidatus Harrisonbacteria bacterium CG10_big_fil_rev_8_21_14_0_10_38_8. RNAcentral's name for it is "tRNA-Ser". It matches the Rfam family "tRNA". From Rfam's summary of the family: Transfer RNA (tRNA) molecules are approximately 80 nucleotides in length. Lineage: Bacteria; Candidatus Harrisoniibacteriota. The record is from RNAcentral.
GGAGAGGUGACAGAGUGGUCGAAUGUGCAUCCCUGGAAAGGAUGUGUGUCCGAAAGGGCACCGAGGGUUCGAAUCCCUCUCUCUCCGCCA